Hyaena hyaena (striped hyena) is the source of this 430-nucleotide long non-coding RNA. RefSeq lists it as uncharacterized. Lineage: Eukaryota; Metazoa; Chordata; Mammalia; Carnivora; Hyaenidae. The record is from RefSeq and is a predicted model, not a curated record. The transcript is spliced from 3 exons.
GGGCCAGACGGGCGGCUCGCGAGGCCUCUGCCGCCACCGGCCGCCUCUUUCUGGCCAGCCGAAGCGGAGAAGGCUCGAGGCCUGCCGGGCCAGCCGGCUUCGGGCACCCGGAGGGGUGCCCGCCCGCGGUAGCCAGCGGGCCGCGGACUUCCCGCCCUCGGCUGCUCCAAGGGGAGCUGUCCACGCUCGCCGCGCCCCGCGUGGGAAGGGGCCGCGUCUGCAGUUCGCCUCGCGCGAGGGAGGGGAAAUUGAGCGGAAACCCAGAGUCUUUCGGCACCUGUGAUGCUUGGGAGUCUGGUCCGGGGUGGGAAAGCAAGGAAGUCACCGGGCGUGAAGAGCUCCAAAUCAAAUCUAUUGUAUAGAAGGUGUCUAUGUAUGAAAUGAUUUGCUUCUUCUUUUGAUGUGAAGACUAAUAAAGAAAUAGAAAGAU